AGCGAACGUUUGCGGCGGGCUUAACACAUGCAAGUCGAACGGGCUGUUCCUUCGGGGGCAGUCAGUGGCGCACGGGUGCGUAACACGUAGGUAAUCAACCCUCUGGUUGGGGAUAACACUUCGAAAGGAGUGCUAAUACCCGGUAUGGCGCAGCGGUCUUCGGAUCGCGGCGAGAAAGACCCGCAAGGGUUGCCAGAGGACGGAGCCCUGCGGCCCAUCAGCUAGUUGGCGAGGUAACGGGCUCACCAAGGCGAAGACGGGUAGCUGGUCUGAGAGGAUGAUCAGCCACACUGGAACUGAGACACGGUCCAGACUCCUACGGGAGGCAGCAGUGGGGGAAUAAUUGCGCGAAUGGGCGAAAGCCUGACGCAGCCACGCCGCGUGAGCGAUGAAGGCCUCGGUCGU
RNAcentral lists this ribosomal RNA (405 nucleotides) under uncultured bacterium. RNAcentral describes it as "bacterial SSU rRNA". It matches the Rfam family "Bacterial small subunit ribosomal RNA", at positions 30 to 426 of the family's 1533-position model. The record is from RNAcentral.